This is a long non-coding RNA of Cygnus atratus (black swan), 887 nucleotides long. RefSeq lists it as uncharacterized. The transcript has 3 exons. NCBI's taxonomy places the organism in Eukaryota, Metazoa, Chordata, Aves, Anseriformes, Anatidae. The record is from RefSeq and is a predicted model, not a curated record.
GGUGAGCGAGGAGACAUCAUCCUGCUGUCUGAGCCUGUUGGCUUGACUUCUGAAAUUCCUUGUAAAUCCCUGCUGUGUGGGAAGGUGGUGUUGUGUCAGAUAGCAACCUUAUGCUCCUCCUUAAUCCCUGGAGCAUGGCUCUCCAAGAAGUGUGGGGUGGGCUCCUGGCUCUGUGGCUGUGUGCUCUGGAGUCAAUUGGGAAAGAAGAAAAGAAAUACUUGAGUUUUGUUGAGGAGCCACAUCAGAAAGCCUAAAAAGGGGAAAAGGCUAACAAGCCAGCAGUAUUCUGGCUGAUCUGUUUUCUUUGUGUCUCCCAGAUCAAAGACUAAGGGCACAUAAAGAUGAGGGAAGGAAGGCAGGACAAAAAGGUUUAUCUUCUCAGUGGUGUUUCCUAUCAGAGACAGGAAGCUAGCUGGGACUAUCACCUAGUCCUGACCUCUUUGACUAAGUUGGUCCUUGCAGCUCCCUUUGACACAGGGCCCUGGUUCCUGGAUGACAAGCAACAGGAAACGUGGAUGUUGACGCACAACUGUCGUGUUCCAAAGCCUCAGCCAAGAAGGAGAGUGUGUCCCAGACAAGACUAAUCUCAUAGCUCCUGUGCUCCAGGAAGGAGAUCCAGGAGGAGCUGCUAGGACUUUAAAGUCCCUUCCAUCCUGUGGCACCUCCCGUCUCCAUUGUGAGGCUGACAUGGCACACAUGUUCAUGUGCAACCCUUUGGACAGUUUCUGGAUUGAAUUUCCCUUUUCACUGCUUGUGGCCCUGCCAUGCUAAGGAUGCCACCAACACAAGCCCAAGUACCAACAUCUGCAGGUCAGGACUUGACUCUCUGCAUUACGGGGCUAGCAGAACAAGUUGCUAAGACAGAUGGAGAUGCUUUCCUGGCUACU